GCAGCCGCGGUAAUACGGAAGGUCCAGGCGUUAUCCGGAUUUAUUGGGUUUAAAGGGAGCGUAGGCGGCCUGUUAAGCGUGUUGUGAAAUGUAGUGGCUCAACCUCUGCACUGCAGCGCGAACUGGCGGGCUUGAGUUGGCUGAAAGUAUGCGGAAUUCGUGGUGUAGCGGUGAAAUGCUUAGAUAUCACGAAGAACUCCGAUUGCGAAGGCAGCAUGCUGUAGCCUUACUGACGCUGAAGCUCGAAGGUGCGGGUAUCGAACAGGAUUAGAUACCCC
RNAcentral lists this ribosomal RNA (278 nucleotides) under uncultured Paludibacter sp. Its description in RNAcentral is "partial 16S ribosomal RNA". It matches the Rfam family "Bacterial small subunit ribosomal RNA", at positions 511 to 788 of the family's 1533-position model. Lineage: Bacteria; Pseudomonadati; Bacteroidota; Bacteroidia; Bacteroidales; Paludibacteraceae. The record is from RNAcentral.